AUUGAGAAACCUACUAGCAAGUAUCCACUUAUAAUAAUAGUAAUGAUAAUAACAAUAAUUAAUGAAAAACAUACACGUGAUCAGCCACAUAGUAUCUGGCAUAGGGAUUCCCGGCUAGAACAACAACACCCUACACAAGGAGAACAUUGAUCAAAGAAAUAUAAAAGAAAAAUGUGAAACAUAAAGCAAGUGCCUUUAUUGAAAGUCAUUAAUAUCUGAUAUAUGGGAAAAGACAUACUCGAACAUUUUUGUUGCGAAUAAAUUGUUGAGAGCACUUGUUAUAACUGAUCCAUGUUAGAGCUGAGUGGGGAUCUUGUGUUGGAGUUGGGCCUUCGGGAUUUUGUGUUGCCAUGGUUGGUUUCAGUGUUGCC
RNAcentral lists this long non-coding RNA (371 nucleotides) under Vitis vinifera (wine grape). RNAcentral's name for it is "long non-coding RNA (VVIN_LNC004962)". The record is from RNAcentral. Lineage: Eukaryota; Viridiplantae; Streptophyta; Magnoliopsida; Vitales; Vitaceae.